UUUUAAAGAGCACCUAUUAUGAGAUACACGUUUUUAAACAUCCUUUUGUGUGUAAGUGUGUAUUAGUACAUGCUAACGAUAUUCAAAAAGUACAUACCUCAAAGAAAACGAUGACGCGAGUUAUCGUCUCUAACGUUCGAGGACUACAAAAAACACUCGGAUUGUAGGCAACAGUUUACUUCCUGGGAUUGGUGACGUAGAUAAGACCAACAUUAUCAUAGUUCAGCCCUCUCUGCUUGGCUUGGGUACGCCCUCAAAGACGGGGGUGGAGAGCGCUGAGUCAGAAGAGAGCUAAAAUGGCGGAGGUUGGGAGUCCCUGCUUUGACCCUGUUUGCAAACUCUUGUUUCAUUGUUUAAGCGAUUAAAUCUCUCGAGUAGACGCUGUCUCUUUAGAUGCAAGGGCAAAAUAGCACUUUAUGGACUAACACAGAGGACAUCAUGUUUAAUACGGUUCCGGAAAAAUCCAGUCAGAAGUUGUUCACGGAGUUUUCACAAUAACUGCUUCUCAUGAACCAAAGCUGCGCGACGUCUCCUCCUGAAAGUUGGAUUACCGUGCACUUCUGGAUCACAGGCUAUUCGCAGCUGGACACAUCCUUCUACACUGUAUGCAAACAUGCAACAUCAUUACACACAGUACAAGGCAUAUGAGGAGCAAAGGAACCCAGGCAGUAGCAUCGUUUCACAAUGUUUCAAUCACCAUCAUCAGUGGAUGCCUUUGCCGUCCGUAGCCUGAGAUUUCAGAUUUGCAGCAAAAAAUGUGACUUUCCCAUUUAUUGGAAUGCUGUGCAGGUUGUACCUUGCAGCCAUCCAUUACAAUGUCACCAAGCCAUAACAAAAGCAGGAGAGGGAAAGUACAAGGCUAUGUUCCCAAAACACACAAGUUACAUACUUUAUGUGGAUGAUGUGAU
Misgurnus anguillicaudatus (oriental weatherfish) is the source of this 908-nucleotide non-coding RNA. The record is from RefSeq and is a predicted model, not a curated record. NCBI's taxonomy places the organism in Eukaryota, Metazoa, Chordata, Actinopteri, Cypriniformes, Cobitidae.